UGCGAUCUGGUGUAACGGCAACACCCUACUCUCAUAAGGUGGAGGAUCCUGGUUCGAGUCCGGGGGUCGCAA
RNAcentral lists this transfer RNA (72 nucleotides) under Flavitalea plasmicola. Its description in RNAcentral is "Flavitalea sp. BT771 tRNA-Met". It matches the Rfam family "tRNA". Rfam says of the family: Transfer RNA (tRNA) molecules are approximately 80 nucleotides in length. Their secondary structure includes four short double-helical elements and three loops (D, anti-codon, and T loops). The record is from RNAcentral. Lineage: Bacteria; Pseudomonadati; Bacteroidota; Chitinophagia; Chitinophagales; Chitinophagaceae.